Molecule: small RNA, 232 nt
Filed under: Drosophila mojavensis
Lineage: Eukaryota; Metazoa; Arthropoda; Insecta; Diptera; Drosophilidae
Description: GI26141
Source: RNAcentral
UCAACCCCCAAAUUCUAUCAUCGUUUUUGAACGGAAGCUACAAUCAACAUGAAACUGAUACUGUUCACUGCUGUGCUCGCUGUCUUGGCGUCCAACUGCUUUGCUCAAGAUGGAGCUACUCCAAGUCAUGAUCUACCAACUGAAGUUCCAGCAACUGUAUCAGUACCUAAGCUAAGGCUGCUUCUUGAAAUACAAGGUUGAUUAAAAUAUUAAAUUUAUGAUGGAAAUGGAA